This 253-nucleotide ribosomal RNA is filed under the name uncultured bacterium. Its description in RNAcentral is "partial 16S ribosomal RNA". It matches the Rfam family "Bacterial small subunit ribosomal RNA", at positions 524 to 776 of the family's 1533-position model. The record is from RNAcentral.
UACGAAGGGGGCUAGCGUUGUUCGGAAUUACUGGGCGUAAAGGGCGCGUAGGCGGUACUUCAAGUCAGGCGUGAAAGGUUCGGGCUUAACCCGGACACUGCCUUUCAUACUGGAGACCUUGAGUGCGGGAGAGGCGAGUGGAAUGGUCGGUGUAGCGGUGAAAUGCGUAGAUAUCGAUCGGAACACCCAUGGCGAAGGCAGCUCGCUGGCCUGUAACUGACGCUGAGACGCGAAAGCGUGGGGAGCAAACAGG